GGAAUAUUGGACAAUGGGCGCAAGCCUGAUCCAGCCAUACCGCGUGGGUGAAGAAGGCCUUCGGGUUGUAAAGCCCUUUUGUUGGGAAAGAAAUCCUGCCGGCUAAUACCCGGUAGGGAUGACGGUACCCAACGAAUAAGCACCGGCUCACUUCGUCCCGGCAGCCGCGGUAAUACGAAGGGUGCAAGCGUUACUCGGAAUUACUGGGCGUAAAGCGUGCGUAGGUGGUUUGUUAAGUCUGAUGUGAAAGCCCUGGGCUCAACCUGGGAAUGGCAUUGGAUACUGGCAGGCUAGAGUGCGGUAGAGGAUGGCGGAAUUCCCGGUGUAGCAGUGAAAUGCGUAGAGAUCGGGAGGAACAUCUGUGGCGAAGGCGGCCAUCUGGACCAGCACUGACACUGAGGCACGAAAGCGUGGGGAGCAA
Molecule: ribosomal RNA, 421 nt
Filed under: uncultured bacterium
Lineage: Bacteria
Description: bacterial SSU rRNA
Rfam family: Bacterial small subunit ribosomal RNA
Source: RNAcentral